UUCUCCACGUAGGUGAACAUGUAUAGAAAAGGGGGUUCUGUUGGAAAAUGCUUAAGGCAUUCUCGGAUAUGUUUGUUGAAGAGUUGGGUGGGCCUAGCAAGAUGGCAGCGCAUGUGCAAUAAGUAUUCCCGUGAAGUACCACUGCUAAGGUAAUGUCGUUUCUAUCAGAUUUGUAAGUUACUCUGUUUUCCAUAUAACUAUAUUUUUUUCAUUUGAA
This 217-nucleotide long non-coding RNA is filed under the name Chrysemys picta bellii (western painted turtle). RNAcentral's name for it is "lncRNA (ENSCPBG00000014954.1)". The record is from RNAcentral. Lineage: Eukaryota; Metazoa; Chordata; Testudines; Emydidae.